This 2208-nucleotide long non-coding RNA is filed under the name Pelobates cultripes (western spadefoot toad). The record is from RNAcentral. Lineage: Eukaryota; Metazoa; Chordata; Amphibia; Anura; Pelobatidae.
GUUAGAGUUUGUUGUACAAGUUUGCAAAAUGUUAAUCUGCAUUACAUAGUAGGUUAGCUUUUCCAAUGCGUAUAUCAGUUAUUUGUCGGUAGUUUCAGCAUACAUACAUAGCGUGUAAAUAUAUACAACAAUUUUGUCGCUAUUUAUUUUCCUUCCUUCAUCUUGGGUGUGGGGAGAGGUACAGAAGUGAAAAGGGGUGGGGGUUGGGGUGCUAUCUCGUUUGCGGUUUGUUACAUACAAUUUGGGGUGUGUUGUAGUUCCUUUUCCCUUGCCCCCUUUCUCUCCCCAUUUGGGGGGGGGGUUGCAGUGAAACCUUCAGUCGGGGGGGGAGUGUUAGUCGCGUGGGUGAUCAGGUAUAAGCCCGCAUGGGCUAUUGUAGUUUUCUCUGUGUGGAUUCUGUCCUCUUGUCAUGUUGUUGUGGUUUUCUUGGUUCUGUUCAGUGAUUUAAAUUUUUAGGUCUGCGGGUUUGUCUCAAAACAUCUUUUAAUUGCUUUCUCCCUUUGGCUAUCACAUUGGGAUAAUUUUCCCGUUGCAAGCAUGCAGCUGGCAAUACCCUCGAUAUUAUUUUUUCAGAUGUAUUCACGGUCUCUAAUCUCUGUAGCACUCUAUUUCAGAUCACCACCUCUUACCAUUAGUGCUUGAGAGCCCCUCCACCCACCCACCAUUCUCAGCCUAACCCCCUUCAACUCAGGAGGAACCUAAAUUCUCUUGAACUCCAGCGACUCUCAGCUGAUGUCUGAUGAUCAGCUGAACAGAUUGAUACCUUCCCAUCUUAAUUUAGUCUCUAGAUUUGUUCACUAAAUCGCAAAUUUUACCAAAUUCCAUCUGAAUUAUAAAAUAUAUAGGCUGAAAUAGCUAAUCUGGAAUAAUUCUCAAACUCAGCUAUAGAAAGAGCUUGUCUAUUUUAUCUUAAAAUCUAGAUCUUGUUUUAGUAACAAUUUAGAUUAAUGGGCCCCAUAAAAACAUAAUUAAAUACGAUUUACCUUAAAUCCCAAAGAGCCAUGGCACAGUCCCUAGAAGUAUCUCUAGAAAAUCAGCGGUAGUGGUUCUAGAGUUUAUAGUGACCCUUUACUUUUCUAAAAUGUGGCGUUUGGUGAAUAAACCUGCAUAUCCCUAUUUUUUUUUUUUAGGGAUGUGCAUGAGCAAAAAGUUCAGUUCGGCACUUCCAAAAUUAGUGACUUUGGCAAUACCCUAACCACCACAGCCACUUACACAUCUAGGGUUCGGGGUAGGGUUAGAUUCCUGUCAUCAUUCCCGUAAGUUUCUCUCCCUCUCAUGUUUUGUCACUUUUCAUAAAUCCAAAGCACUUAGGCACUUCUGAAAUUCUUCGGUUCGGCACUACCGAAAUUCAGGCCUUCAGCAACACGGGACUUCGGCGGUUCAGCACUUUGGCAAUUCCCUACCCCUAACCCUACUCACCACAACAACUUACAUAUCUAGGGUUAGGGUUAGAUUCCUGUCAUCAUUCCCGUUAUUUUCCCUCCCUCUCCUGUUUUGCCACUUUUCAGAAACCCAAAGCACUUCGGCACUGCCGAAAUUUGGCAAUUCGGUUUGGCACAUCCGAAAUUCAGACAUUCUGAAGCAUCCGAAUGUCCGAAUUGCAGAAAUAAGGCCAAAUUUACAUUCGUAACGAAACAAAUUGCACAUGUCUAAUUUUUUUUACAGAUGUGCGGACCUUUAUUGUCCUAUAAUGAAAUUCUCGAUUAAAAACAAGUUCUGUUUUAGUUGAUAGCCUAAUAUUUUAAAAAGAUUGCUAAGGAACACUCCAGACACUUCAGGCAUUUCAGCUUGCUAUUUGCUAAAGUGCUUUAUGUAUCUGGAGUUUGUCAUAUUUGUGCCAGUUUAUAAAUAGGACCAAUUUCAAUAGAAAUCAGCGCAGACAGUAAGGGGGUUUUGUUCCUGUUCGCUCCACAGGCCUAAUGGAAGCAUCAGGCACUCACUUGUCAAUGAGCUGUACUACAGGUCAUUGAGAAGCAUAGGAAAUCUGCAAUUGCUAGUGUGCACGUCUCUGAUUGGUGAACUCCCUGGCACAGACUGACAAUCUGUACUGGGAAAAGAGGAGAGCCUUGCAGAGACUGUGGUUUUCUUUCAUAUAUCCCCAAAGAAACAAGCAGAAAAAAUGUAUCUUUCAUUGGAGGGUAUAUCUACUAAAUUCUCACAAAAAAUAAAACUUUCAGAGGAAUGUUUAAAAAAAUUUGAAGUGGUGAC